UUGUUGCUCCUCUAUGCCCCGCCUUUCUGAAACAUGUCGAUUUUUACAAAGCUCAUCGUUCUGAAAAGCAAAGUGUGAGUUGACUGGCCAGCUAUCCAGUGCAUUAUGAUUGGCUGAAUACCUCCUGCGUGUGAUGGAAAUGUUAUGCCCCUUACCAUACUGUGAUUCUGUCUCCUGGCAUGAGGCAUUUGUUGCAUCCAGUGGGGACAUAAUUGCUGAUUAUAAUGACUUAUACUGUCUUUUUACGUGUUGUGUAAACAUAAAACCAUGUCUGCAUUUGUGAUCGGAGAAAUGACAAGCAACAAGCGCUAAUGUUACUCUACACUGCUCAAAACUCGCGUUUGAAUCAUCAGUGGCAAAUUCUUUAAAUAUGUAAACGUACAUACAGGCUGUGAGUCAGAAACGCCAGACUGUCCUUGCAAAGUUGGAAUUGCUCCCCUUUAUAGAAACAGCCUUUGUGCCACAGAAGCAUUGUAGUCUACUGGUUCAGGAAUCAGUCCUCGUCCUCCGUAAAAAACGCUACACACAUCUGAAAAUUUUGGGUUGAACUGUUCUGGAACAGUGUUGUAAAUACAACUUAACCACUGAUUUCAAAUUGUGUCCUCUUUUGGAAGGCUAAACAAAGUAGUUUCGCUUUCACAACGAAACACAUAGCGUCUCCACAACAUAGCGGCAACAGCUAGAAUAAAAGUUACGCCUUCUUUCUUUGUGUGAACAUUUGGGCAGUGUUAUGCAAAUAUUCCCACAUCUGGCGUAGACGUGGGGGCGUGUUAGAAUGAGCCGUUUUAGGAGAGUGUGGUUGACUCUUAACUUUUAUAAAGAAUAUCUCUUUGGGUUUGAGAAUUUAGUCUUUGCAACUUUACAGAUCUUCUUCAUGCACCAAGAGCUUGUAACAAUCCAAAGCGAAAGGAAAAUUUGAAAUUGUAUCAUAUGACCCCUUUAAUUUCUGUUGGUUCUGUGAUCUCCAGAAAAACACACAGAGGACAGCCUAUACGUUCAGUGUACAGACAUAUAUUAUACAGGAAAGAGAGAAAGAGACUGAAAAGUUUCUGCUUUGUUGACUCUAAGAAUGCUUUUUUAUGUUAGUUUCUUAGAUCUAGCCAAGAUUCAAUAGACGUUAGCUGUUUAUAGUCACAUACUCAGGGUCAUUUGCUUCACCUUGUGAAAAAAUUACAUUCAGUAUUAUUUGCUAAAUACUUCAGAGCAGUUAGAAUAUUUGCUUUCUCUUCAUGAAAAAAUUAUAUAUAUAUAUAUAUAUAUAUAUAUAUAUAUAUAUAUAUUAUAAUUUUUUUAAUAACCAUCUUUGCUCUCUGAAAACGAAAGGAAUUUGUAUGUGUCAUCCUUCCCUCUAUUAUUCUAGUACUUUUUGUUCAUGUUGUUGUGUUCUUUUGUAGCUUUGCUUAUUGUCUUGUGCGCUUAGUUGAGAGCCAUCAUUUUAUUCUUCCAUCUAUUUUUCUUUCUUGAAAAUCACCUCACACUUGGCUGAUGCCAGUGAUAAAAUGAAUAGGGCAAUUCACUUAUAAUUCAUAACCUGUCUGCCCUUUGAGUGUGUGCUGCUCAACCUUAAUUAUAAAUCACACCAUAACGAGGAGCUCCUUUGCUCCAAUACACCCAGAUUCAGCUCUUCCCCCUUUCGUCUGGGUCUAAGAAACCACCACUGCAGGGGAUUGGGGUCAAAUCUUAGAGGCGUGAGAAGCCAGUGUUCAGCUUGUCAAAAAGGGCAAGCAAUACAGAUGAGCGAUCUCACUCUGGGCUGUAAGGGUGCAGACCGCAGAGCUUGUAAAAUCAGAAAGAGACAGGGAAUUCCUUGUAUUUCAUGAGAUUCUCUGUGUACGUUGUGGCUUUCUAUUUGGUGUCAGCCCCACUUUAUAGCUGGACAUAAUUUAAUAUUGGCUUCUGUGGUGGGUGCACACUGCCUCUGUCUUGCUCUAUAAAAUUAGAGCACGUUGUUCUUGUCUGCACAUAUUUCAAAGGCUGGCUGUGGUGAACCGUCCUUUGCCGGAGUUCAGGUUGCAUUUCUAUAACAGUAGAAUUUGCCUGAUUUUCGUUCUUUCCUGUGCAUUGAAUUUUUUAUUAUUUAAUUAUUAUUAUUAUUAUUUUAAAGGAGGUAUUUUUCUUCAGGCAAUUGUGUACUAUCUAACCACAUUUCUGUAAUGUCUUGAAUAAAAUAUCUCAAGAGGUGCUGACCUGGCAUCAAAACCCCUGUCUGGUAAUUAGAUAUGUAGUCUACCUGAAAUGUUUUUAAGUUACAUUUUUUAAGAUAGUUUUAAUAGGAAAUUCCUCCCUGAUGUCAAAUUUAAAGAGGGAAAAUUUAUGAGACCUUUCCACCCAUAUUUCUCUCAUAACCUCAUCAUCACACUAUAGUCCAGUUCAGUUUAACAUUUUACCCUCUGAUGUAAGAGGCUGAAAUCCUCUUGUACACGUGAAAGGAGAAUGGUGAGCCACGCAGCAGGACAGGAUGGGGUACGGGUUAGGGAAAGAACUGGAGAAGAAAGCAUUUGUGAGUGUUGGCUGGUGUCCCAGAAAAUGUCUCUGCUGUGUUGCAGGGUCCUUCCCCCAUUCUUAUGAUAGCAUUUUGCUAUAGACUCUAGGUAAAAUAAAGCUUUGUGUCUUUGAGAUUUUAAGGUUGUGGAUGGUUCUUGUUUGUGGAUUAUUGGAUUAUUGAAUUUCAGAUUAUAAAUUGUUUAACCCUUGUUCUGUUUCCCUAUUAAUAGGUCAGAAAACAUAAAUCUUAAACAACACAUUUAAUGACUUCUGCUAAUUUAUAUAACAUAUAAUAUUUAAAAAAAUAGAUUAUGUUUGUGAUCUCAGAGCCUAGGUAAAACAACAUGAAUAAAUGCACCAAGCAACACUAACAAUGAAAGCAGAGUGUCAGAAGAACACAAAUAUUAAUAUUUUAUAGUUUCUUAUUUGUGGUUUCUAAGUAUAGUUAUAGGACAGUUUUGUAAAAACAAAAAGAAAAUCCUGCUUAGUUGUGCCAAUAGCACAGAUUAUAUUAGUGCAGUAGUUCCAAUAUUUUAUUCUACAAAAAUAUUUACAUAAAAAUAAAAGACUGUUGUAAAAUAAUUGUUUUGACGCAAAACAUUACUGGUUGUUUUAUAAUUUUCAACAUAUUCUGAUUAGAACUAUAAUAGAAUUUCUAGCCAGCUGUUUUACUUCAUCUCGCAGCCAAAAAAAAACCAAAACAAAAAAAAAACCAAGGGAUAGAAUACAUGUAUUUGAUUAAUGAAUGUCAGUGACAACACAGAAUUGGCCUAUUAGGGCAAGUGACAGUUUUGUUAAUUGCCAGCCAGCUAUCACUAUUGAGCCCUAAUGUAUGUAAAUAAUGGGAAUUUGUUGUUUUGAGAAACCACAAAGAGAAUGUACCUCUAAAAUCACCAUCAUAAAUGAUGGCUUUAACACUCCAAGAAGGUUGUAGUUCAAGAUGGAGUAUAAAUCUUAUUCAUUCGGUUUCAGUUGUUUUCUGUUUUGCUAGUUAACAUAAUUUUCAAGAAUUUAAGCUGAUUUCUGGAUACAGCAGUUGUAUUGUCAUUGAUUCAGUACUGCUUGAACUCUCAGGUGUACUAUUAAAAAUGAGUGUGUGGUUUUCCUUUCUCUAUUUAUAAUUACUUGUUUGCCUUUAUUGUGCAUUGUACCCCUGACAGGUUGUCAGAAGCGGUUGUCUGUUCUUCUGUGUGUGGCCUCUGCGCUAGCUGUCAGUAUAACCUUCAGGAUGAAAGGAAAAACCAUUCGGGAAUGAUACUGACUCCAUCUCCUGGAGCUGUGUGUUUUUGUAUAGUCUCUUAUCCGAUUUCACUUCGAUAAAUUUAAUCAGAAUAGAGCUGACAUUGAUGUUUUGACAGCUUAGACAAAGCUAUUGUUCCUCUGUAGGACAAUCCUGGCUUGUUUAGCCUCGAAUUCCGCUGUAUGCCUGACUUUUUAAGCAUCACAUGGUAAGUCUGGAAGACAACUUAAGGCUCUUCGCUAACUUUAAAGGUGUGGUAUUCGCUGAUUGGUCUCCAUCUGGUUGCGAGUUAAGAAUAGUUUACUCAAAAUUUUAACUAUUGUACUAAUUUACUUGCCUUCAUGUUAUUCUAAGCUUUUGUGAAACACAACAAGAGAAGUUUAGCAGAAUGUUGACACUGCUCUUUACUAAGAGUGCUAAUUAAAGUGAAUGCCUCAAAAAUACUAAAGCACCAUAUAUUCCAAGUCUAUUGAAGCUGAACAAUAGCUUUUUUUGUGGAAAAUAGAAUCAUUGACAAUUUAAAUUGUUAUUCACCAAUAGUAAAUGUGGUCUGUGAAUAGCUGUGACCAAGGCAGAGACGGCCUUAUGAUGAGGAGAUACCAGCCUCUGUGUGGCUCGAUCAUUGGAGAAAGCAUAACGGUCAACUUGGAUUGCGUGUGCUGUGAUAGUCAAUCACAUUAUAUCCUUGAAGUAAUUUAAUUGCUGUCAGACUUGUACGACAGUCAAUCACUUUUUGGCAAUACAAUAGAAAUGGAUAAGUAGUGCCUUAAACAGAAUGUCACAGAAUUGUUCUUUUUUUUUUUUUGUAAACUCCAAAAAUAGAUAAAUCUAUAUAUAGGCUCUCGAUGAAUUAAACUAAUUUAAGUUCCAAUCUAUGUUUUUAUACAAUUAACUAACUUGUAAAAGUAGUCUUAGCAGUUUAUGCAACAAGUCACACAUCAUUAAUUCACUGAGUUGAAGUCAAGUUUCAAAUCAGUUCAUUUGGAGUCAGGUUGUAACAACCCAGCUUUCUAAAUCUAUCAGGUUGUGUCCACUCCCCCCAGUUCCACAUAUCCUUAGCACUCAGUAAUUUUAGCACAUAGGAAGUGCUAAGCUGCUCUUUAGUUGUAGUUUGAGAAGGCCUCUUGAUGAUCCAGUCAGUGCAGUGAACUGCCGAGGGGAGUUGCAGGUUGCUAUUACUUGAUGGCAGGAAGGCCAAAGGUUAACGCUUUUUCCCCUCCCCUCCGCUGUUGCCUGCCAGAAGUCCUUGUGAGCAUACAAGCCUCUGCUCACAGCCUCCACAAGUCUGGAUAUUAGCCAAGACAGCCCACUCCAAAACACACUACCUUUCAGUGUGUUUUUUUGUAUACCUCCCCUAUCCUGCCCUGCGGGUCCUGCCAUAACCACAUCCAUCACACCUCUGCAUCUUAGGCGUGGCUUGACCUAAGCUUGAUCAUGCAGUUUGAGACUUUUCAUUUGUUAAAAUGAAUCUCACACUUUUAGUUUUUAUUUUGCCUUUAAGGCUUUUAAAUUUUAAUAUAACUUUCUCAUCCUCUUUCAUUCUUUUUGAGCAUUUAGAAAGUCUCACUGUUUUCAUUAACUAGAGCUCAGUGUGCUCUUCAGGUCUCUUGCACAGAGAAAGUGAUAUAUUUAUCCUGAAACUUGGGUCACUACUGAAAUGUGGAUUCUGGUGAUCUUUGUUAAUUGUAAACAAAUAACAUUGACUGUGAUGCUUAUUCCUAGAGUAGAGAUUGGUGCUAACAAUGCCAGGAUUCAUAGGUUCGAUUCACAGGGAAUGCAUGAACCGGCAAAUUGUAUACCUUCAAUGGAAUUGCCGGUACAGUUAAUUGUACGAGCGGUACAGUUCAGUACAGUACAGUAUGCAAUAUUUUACGUUUCCAUUGUCAGAAGUUGUGAAUGGUACCAAAAUAGCGAAUUGGACCGUACCACUUUUUUGGGACCCUUCAGUAUGGGUAGCUAGCACAGUAGUCCGAUACCAAAAGGGUGGAGCUAGACUCACUACAGACUGUUGAUUAGUUGACAGAGAAUCGUCACUUGCGUGUGCUACAGCCUUUUUUUAAUGUCAGCAUGCAGCAGUGAACCAUGGUCGACCCAGGAGGUGCAGACCUUCCUGGGUAUCAUCGGUGAAGAACGUCUGCGAAGAGAACUCGAUGGCAUGGUGAGAAACUAAAAGGUUUUCCAGAAUGUUUCUGAGAGGAUGGCUGCAGAUGGGUUCCAGCGGACAUCUAAGCAUUGCAGAAUUAAACAGAGCAACUACCAGAAGGUGAAAGACCACAAACCGAAAGGUGUAAACCAAAAGAAGUGGAAGUGGUUCGAUAUGAUGGACGCCAUUUAUGGACACAGACUGGCGAGUUUGGCAAGAGGAGCUGGCAUCGAUAUGGCCACCUCUCUGCUGGAGUAAAUGAAGUCUGCUGUUGAGGAUCGCCGUGACCCUGUGCCACCAUCCAGCCACUAGUGCUUUGCACACAACACAGGACUUUACACUUGUUUGACACGUUUUCACUUUUUGUUCACACAAAACUGUUGUUGCACAGCACUUUGUAUUUUAAGCAUUUGUUUGACUGUUUUCAAAUUAAAGUAAUUUUUCCAUUACCUCAUGUGUCAUGUCAUGUGUUCAAUGACUGUCUCACAGGCUUCCUCCCAUACCCCUUCUAUAAAUUGAUGUAAUUCGCUUAAUGUUCCUGCCAUCAGAUGUUGACAAUGCCAGAGUGUAUGGAC
Cyprinus carpio carpio is the source of this 6442-nucleotide long non-coding RNA. NCBI's taxonomy places the organism in Eukaryota, Metazoa, Chordata, Actinopteri, Cypriniformes, Cyprinidae. The record is from Ensembl.